GGAUUGCCCCAGUAACGGCGAGUGAAGCGGCAGCAGCUCAAAUUUGAAAUCUGGCCCCUGGGGCCCGAGUUGUAGUUUGCAGAGGAUGCUCUGGGCGCGGCGCCUUCCGAGUUCCCUGGAACGGGACGCCACAGAGGGUGAGAGCCCCGUCUGGUCGGACGCCAAAGCCCGUGUAGAGCUCCUUCGACGAGUCGAGUAGUUUGGGAAUGCUGCUCAAAGCGGGAGGUAUAUGUCUUCUAAAGCUAAAUACCGGCCAGAGACCGAUAGCGCACAAGUAGAGUGAUCGAAAGAUGAAAAGCACUUUGGAAAGAGGGUUAAAGAGCACGUGAAAUUGUUGAAAGGGAAGCGCCCGUGACCAGACCUGGGCCCGGCGAAUCACCUGGCGUUCUCGCCGGCGCACUUCACCGGGCACAGGCCAGCAUCAGCUCGACGCGGGGGACAAAGGCGGCGGGAACGUGGCUCCCCAGGGAGUGUUAUAGCCCGCCGCGCAAUGCCCCGCGCCGGACUGAGGUACGCGCACCGCAAGGAUGCUGGCGUAAUGGUCAUCGGCGACCCGUCUUGAAACACGGACCAAGGAGUCGUCUUCGUAUGCGAGUGUUGGGGUGCCAAACCCCCGCGCGGAAUGAAAGUGAACGCAGGUGAGAGCUCCGGCGCAUCACCGACCGAUCCUGAUGUUCUCGGAUGGAUUUGAGUAGGAGCAUACGGGGCCGGACCCGAAAGAAGGUGAACUAUGCCUGUGUAGGGUGAAGCCAGAGGAAACUCUGGUGGAGGCUCGCAGCGGUUCUGACGUGCGAAUCGAUCGUCAAACAUGGGCAUGG
This 818-nucleotide ribosomal RNA is filed under the name Gibellula scorpioides. Its description in RNAcentral is "partial large subunit ribosomal RNA". It matches the Rfam family "Eukaryotic large subunit ribosomal RNA", at positions 72 to 920 of the family's 3401-position model. Lineage: Eukaryota; Fungi; Ascomycota; Sordariomycetes; Hypocreales; Cordycipitaceae. The record is from RNAcentral.